This 29-nucleotide non-coding RNA is filed under the name Gallus gallus (chicken). RNAcentral also lists the same sequence under 2 other names. Lineage: Eukaryota; Metazoa; Chordata; Aves; Galliformes; Phasianidae. The record is from RNAcentral.
GUUAGGAUUCGGCGCUCUCACCGCCGCGG